AUACGUAGGUUGCAAGCGUUGUCCGGGAUUUACUGGGUGUAAAGGGCGUGUAGGCGGAGAUGCAAGUUGGGAGUGAAAUCCCGGGGCUCAACCCCGGAACUGCUUUCAAAACUGUAUCCCUUGAGUAUCGGAGAGGCAAGCGGAAUUCCUAGUGUAGCGGUGAAAUGCGUAGAUAUUAGGAGGAACACCAGUGGCGAAGGCGGCUUGCUGGACGACAACUGACGCUGAGGCGCGAAAGCGUGGGGAGC
RNAcentral lists this ribosomal RNA (248 nucleotides) under uncultured bacterium. RNAcentral's name for it is "partial 16S ribosomal RNA". It matches the Rfam family "Bacterial small subunit ribosomal RNA", at positions 523 to 769 of the family's 1533-position model. The record is from RNAcentral.